Rhodocollybia butyracea is the source of this 84-nucleotide non-coding RNA. The record is from the annotation of a GenBank genome assembly. Lineage: Eukaryota; Fungi; Basidiomycota; Agaricomycetes; Agaricales; Omphalotaceae.
GCAUUAAUGGGGUAGUGGUAACCUGGGUCGUUGCCAUCAGGUGACUUAUUCGACCCGCCGGGGGUUCGAUUCCCUCUUAAUGCA